RNAcentral lists this transfer RNA (65 nucleotides) under Challia fletcheri. RNAcentral's name for it is "tRNA-Asn". The record is from RNAcentral. Lineage: Eukaryota; Metazoa; Arthropoda; Insecta; Dermaptera; Pygidicranidae.
UUAGAUGAAGCCAAAAUAGCGGCGGUUUAUUGUUAAUAAAUUGAUUGUUUAAACAACCAUUUAGG